This 253-nucleotide ribosomal RNA is filed under the name uncultured bacterium. RNAcentral's name for it is "partial 16S ribosomal RNA". It matches the Rfam family "Bacterial small subunit ribosomal RNA", at positions 524 to 776 of the family's 1533-position model. The record is from RNAcentral.
UACGUAGGGGGCUAGCGUUGUCCGGAUUUAUUGGGCGUAAAGAGCGUGUAGGCGGCCAGAUAGGUCUGCUGUGAAAACUCGAGGCUCAACCUCGAGCUGUCGGCGGAAACCAUUUGGCUAGAGUCCGGAAGAGGAGAGUGGAAUUCCCGGUGUAGCGGUGAAAUGCGCAGAUAUCGGGAGGAACACCAAUGGCGAAGGCAGCUCGCUGGGACGGUACUGACGCUGAGACGCGAAAGCGUGGGGAGCAAACAGG